RNAcentral lists this ribosomal RNA (207 nucleotides) under uncultured bacterium. RNAcentral describes it as "partial 16S ribosomal RNA". It matches the Rfam family "Bacterial small subunit ribosomal RNA", at positions 568 to 774 of the family's 1533-position model. The record is from RNAcentral.
UGCGUAGGUGGUUUUUUAAGUCCGUUGUGAAAUCCCUGGGCUCAACCUGGGAAUGGCAGUGGAUACUGGAAGGCUAGAGUGCGGUAGAGGGUAGUGGAAUUCCCGGUGUAGCAGUGAAAUGCGUAGAGAUCGGGAGGAACACCAGUGGCGAAGGCGGCUACCUGGACCAGCACUGACACUGAAGCACGAAAGCGUGGGGAGCAAACA